Papaver somniferum (opium poppy) is the source of this 2527-nucleotide long non-coding RNA. RefSeq lists it as uncharacterized. The transcript is spliced from 8 exons. NCBI's taxonomy places the organism in Eukaryota, Viridiplantae, Streptophyta, Magnoliopsida, Ranunculales, Papaveraceae. The record is from RefSeq and is a predicted model, not a curated record.
AUAAUAAAAAAAAAAACCUAGGUUUUCUUCUCUGGGUUUUCUUCUCUACAAACCCAGGUUUUCAUCUGAAGAAAACGUUCUAUGUGCAGAUGAGAUCGUCCAGGCUUCAAACAAACCUUUCUAAUGGUUUUCUUCUAAAACCCUGUUUUUUUCAUUCUUUCUUCUGCGUUCUCUCAAUUGAUUUCUUUUAGUCUUAUUACAGGCUCUGCUACGCCCUACAAUAACAAAAACAAAGAAAAACCUAAGAAGAAACCCUAAACCACAAGCUUUUCUUUUUCGGCUGCUCUUCUUCUCUUUGUUUAUGCUUCUCUCGGGUUUUUUCCGGGUCUUCUCUUCUGAAACUAUAUUAGUCUUUCUUCUUUUUUUGAUAUUCCAGGUGAUAGUACAUUAAUAAGAUUCAGAUUCUUACUCCAAAGGUAAGGUUUUACUUUUUACAGCUAGGGUUUUUGAUUUAAAUGAAGAGAAGAUUUGUACUGCUAACUUAUAGUAAAGGAAUAAUUAUGAGACAGAUACCACCAUAUAAUUUUUAAUUCUACCCGUUGAUUUCUUUGUCUUUUGAUUUCGGGGUUUUAAUCCGAUAUAAAUUUUUUUUUCAGUAUCUUAUUUUUAUUUUGAUUUUGCAGGUGAGCUUUGUUAGCAAUAUGAUUUCGGGGUUUUUCUGUUCUAUCUCUUUUUUUUUUCUUUCAUUAUCUUAUAUUUAUUUUGGUUUUGAAGGUGAUCUUCGUUAACAGUACCAUACUCUGGAUCAUAGUAAAUCACUUUAUUCUAUGAUUAGGAAUAAGCUGAGAUACUCAUCAGAUUACCCUAAUUUUAAGUUGGACACAAACCCGCUCCUUGCUGUCUAGGAAAAGAUUUUUGUUGGUGGAGGACAUUGUGAGAAAAGAUUUAGGACCUAUUUCAGAAAUUGCAGGGACAUUUGUACUAAAGUAACCAAAGACCAAUUCAUUUUUUGGAUUUUUUGCUCUACAUCAAUGCUAGAGCUUCAAAUAUGGCCGGGAGUUCAACCAAGUGCGGGAAGACUCAUUUUAAUUAUAGGGAGCGGGGAACACUGUUUAUGCAACGAUUGAUUUUUCAUAGGAGAGCAUCUAACAUUACCCAUGUUAUGGCACUCCAACUACACAAAGAUGACAGUUACAUGGAUGAACCUGGCAUGGGAUUUGUAAUUAAAAAGAAGGGAAACGCGAUUCGAAAUUUUGGGCAAUGAAGGUAUGUCAUUUGCAUGGAACAGCAUGGUUCAUAUGAAGUAACCCUGCAUCUUCUAAUGAUGUUGUUGUUUCCACCAUGUCAAUGUCGACAAGUACGUACUUCCCAAUUAGUUACUUAUCCUAAUCCAAUUAGUUCCCAAGGACAAGCCUUAUCCUUUCGUCUUCUCCAACUAGCCGCAGCAACCAUGGUAAAAAUAACAAAACCCGAAUCUCUCUUUCUGUUUAUUUUCUUAUCCUAAUCCUAUGAAUGUUGAGAUGCAUUCUUCCCUUUCUUCUGAAGAUGGUAGCAGGAUGAAUCUCAAUCUCGUAACACGCCGCACAGUUUCCGCAUCUUAAUCUUUUUAGUUUUUUUUUUUUCCUGAUAACCUUGAUAGUAUUUCAGUGAGUGAGUUUUAUAAAUUUUUGUAUUUUUUUUUAUUGAUUUUUUUCCCAGGAAACGACAAUCAAUUUCUGUGAGUUUUUAACCUCUCUAACUUUUAAUCAGUUUCCAUGAUAAAUCAACUUGACGUGGGAGUUGAUUGUUGAUUUAUUGAUUGGUUAGUGGAGAUAUAUGUAUUUACUGGAAUCAGUUGUGGACGUCCAAGCAUAAAAUCAGCACAUUAUGUUGUUAUAUGCCCUCUUAUCGCAUCUGUGCAUAGGGGCUAGGGUAUUUGGCGCUUAAGGCCACAAAAUGUUGCAACUUUGAGACCCUGGAGAGGUGGGCGUUGAAAGCAUCGCCAUUCUGUGAACAAAGAAAGCUGGCAGGAAACGGUCCUCUCUGAUAUAGGUGGCCAUCGAAAGCAGAUAUGGGACUCCGAAUGGAGGAAUUUAGACAGAGUCAGAUAGAAUGAUCUACUCUCCGAUAAAUGCGAUUGCAUUCUGCUCUAUUCAGGAAUAUCCACAACCAUUGAAUUUUAUGUACCCCUGGAUAGAGAGGGCAUGCAAAUUGUAAGGCUUCUUUCAAAGUUUUCCACGGCGAAGUGAUAGUGCCUUGAGAUAUCAGACGGGAUAAUACCUGUUUCUCCGUCGUAGCUGUUUGGCUUCAUUAUUUUGGGGGUUUACUUUAUGCUACUAUUUCUAUUGCUUCUUUGCUGCUACGAUCUUUGGCAUGGUAAUUGCAAGUUUUCUAAGUUUUUCUUUUCACUUUUCCACACAUAGCUAUUGAAUUUUUCGGCAGCUUAUGAUGAUGAAAAAACAGAUUAAUAUUAUUUUGUAAUAUUUUGAAAUACUUGCGGCAAAGUACUAUACAACUUAUUACGAGCUCUGCAACAUAAUGCAGUGUAAUGUGAUACCCUCUACUAAUGAGGCUCACAUACUAAUUUGAGCAGGAGUCAUUCUCUUGA